Molecule: ribosomal RNA, 303 nt
Filed under: uncultured bacterium
Lineage: Bacteria
Description: partial 16S ribosomal RNA
Rfam family: Bacterial small subunit ribosomal RNA
Source: RNAcentral
AGCAGCCGCCGCGGUAAUACGUAGGUGGCAAGCGUUGUCCGGAAUUAUUGGGCGUAAAGCGCGCGCAGGCGGAUAGGUCAGUCUGUCUUAAAAGUUCGGGGCUUAACCCCGUGAUGGGAUGGAAACUGCCAAUCUAGGGUAUCGGAGAGGAAAGUGGAAUUCCUAGCGUAGCGGUGAAAUGCGUAGAUAUUAGGAAGAACACCAGUGGCGAAGGCGACUUUCUGGACGAAAACUGACGCUGAGGCGCGAAAGCCAGGGGAGCGAACGGGAUUAGAUACCCGUGUAGUCCCUGUCUCUUAUACC